AGACAGAUUAGCUCACUGUAAAAUCUGUUUUUCUUCCUUUGCCAGGAAGCCAUCAACAGAGACUCUUUCCUCUAUCCUGUUGUAGAGUUGAUUGACAGGGUUCUUUGUGCCUGGAAAGCAAAUUAUGUUAAAAUUAUCUUCACGACCUAUUUAUAAGUGCCACGAUUCCUCAGCACUCUUUGGUUAUAAUCUGUGUCCUCAGGUGAGUGGGGUCUCCCGGGUCCCAUGGCGCCCCCUGCCUGUUCAGGUCAGGCUUCUAACUUACCUUGGAGAGUGCUCUGCCCGCCGUCACCACGCGAUGGUGUUGUGACCUCACGUGGGGCAAGUCAUGCAGGCCGAGUCGGCGUUCCUGAGCUCCCAUGCAGCGAAUGCAUCACCUCGGGAGAAAACUGUGUUCAAUGUCCUCUUAAUGACGUUGGCAUUUUCACCAUCGGUGCAGCUUGUGUUUCUAAAACAUGACUACCUCACCCACAUUGCCUAUCCCUAAGGCAUUUCAGCCACCCAGAGCCCCUUCGGAAUCUGCUUUCCUUUCUCACGGACUUACCUUUUGAACAUGCGUGUACCAAAUGGUAUUUUAUAAGUCGUAGUCUUCUCGUAUCAAAACGAGUCCUGGCCGCCAGCAGAACGUCUGAUCAGCCUAGGUGAUCGGCCUGCCCAGAGAGAGCUGCUGUCAUUUCCACUUGAGGAUGCGUGUGGGCUUGGUCACUUUGUGCAGCCUGGUGGUGUGAGUGAGGUCUCAGCCUUAGGUGGGCUUCUGAAGGGUGACCUAUGACUCCUCUCUUCUCUGAGAGUACCUGGGUGGAGCGUACUGGGGUCCCAGGAUGAUGGAUGAUGGGCCACUUUCUACUGGGGCGGGCAGUGAAGACUUCAUCUGGAGGUGCUUGUCUUAUCCGCAGGGACUGUCUGUCUCAACCACGUGAGCAGCGUUAAGGCCGCUCUGCAGCUCUUUGUGCGGAUGCAGCUAUUAUUCAUCCCGAUGGGGCCAGCGGCGUUUCUAUGCCUCCAAAAGGUCUUCUGGCUCUUAGUUGCCUCUCUCUAGCCUUUGUUUCCAAAAUUGGCUCUUUUCCUGUUUGGGGGCCGGAGGUUUGGAGUUCAGUGCCGCGUGAAACAAUUUUGUAGGAACUGUGUGUGUUGAUAUUUCUAAACAAUGGAGGUCGUAAAGAAAAAAAUCCCAAGACACCAGAUUCAGUGCCAGCUCAGUACUAGGCACCAUGAAAGGAGCAGGGGUACACAGGGAAAUGAGACUGGCUUUGUUCCCAAGGCGCUGUGCUCGGCGAGAGACAGAAUGUCUGCCUGGUGCUGUGAGCGCAGAGCCCUGGGUGGGGAAAGGAUCUGAAGUGGAGACAUUUCCCAGUUGCUGAUGGUACAGCAGGGCUGGAAGGGUGUGGAGCUGGGCAUAGGUAUUGUGGGCAUCAGGCGUGCCGCACCCAAGGCGGGAAUGCAUGGGGACGCUGAGGCGAGUGACUGGAGGCAGGCUGGCAUGGUGGAUGGUCUGCUUUCUGAAGGCUUGUGGUUGCCAGGCCUGAGAGUGACUGCUCAUCGUAUGUGACUUCUCUCCACUCACACUACUUCCCAUCACCCUUCGAGCCCCUGGAGGGUAGGGCCCUAUUCUCAAUAAAUGACAGAUCAGUGAUUGCAGUGUUUCCAGCAGCCCUCAGAUCUCCCAGGGCUAGAAAUCGCAGGGCGUCAUGUUGCAUGUAGGCUGCAAGCUGUGAGCAGCUCUGUGUGUGUCCUCAUUCCAGCCCUGGCUGGAAAGUGCAGUCUGUCUGGGACCGCUCCCAUGGCACAGAGCAGAAGCAAAGGGCUGGUGGAAGGUCCCAGUGCCUCUUUGAGCUUUGCCAGGACAGUGUGUGUCACAUCACUUUCCGUGGGCCAGCUGAUGGCACAAGGCCAAGCCCAACAUCAAUGGGCAGGAAUGUAUAAUCCUUUUACAGGGAAGUGAAUCUUCAAGAACAGUGAUACAGGCUGCUACUCAGAGCACUUGAAGGAUUUGAAUCUGGGAAGUAAUGUGAUCCUAUUUAUAAUUUUUAGAAAGUUCAUUCUGGUGCAAGUGGCCUGGAAAAGUGCAGAUAGAUUCAGGGUCAGCGUAGGUGGGAAAUACAUUUAUAGCUGCCUGUGCCGAGCGGGCUCUGGGCAGAGGGUCAAGCUGUUGGAGUGGGGAUGCUGAAGAAAGAAAAGCUUUAAGAGGUAUCUCCGAGGAAGAUGGAGUCAGAGAAUCUAGUGACUGGUGGUGUGAGGGAGCCUCAGGGUCCCAGUGAGUCAUGCUGGGCAUUGGAGUCACGGUGGAUGACAGUGACCUCAUCUAAGAGGACACGAGAGGAAGAGCAGAUUGGGCAGGCCGAAGGCAUUUGAUGUUGGCCACUGGGUCCUGGCACCAUGAGAAUGGAGGUGUUGGUGGACGAAAUCACCCAGUGGGCUCUUGUCAGGCAGGAGCAGAGAGCAUGGACAGAGCCCACCCCUGACAUUUCCAUAGGAGGGAGGAUGCUGACGUGGAGGACCUCCUGUGUGUCUGACAUUGUUGCAGGAGUCUCUGUAGAGUCUCCUGUUGGAUUUCCAGCAACUCUCCAGAGUAGAUUCUCUUUACCACUGUUUCGUUUAACGGUUGUGGGAACCGAGGCCCACAGAGGUCAAGAUACCUGCUCCAAGGUCAUCCAGCAGAUGAGCCUGAACCUGCAGUAACUCCCGGACUCGGAGCACAAGCACGUGGCUUGUGUGUUCCUUCUCAAGUAGGACCACUCCUGGUGUCCUUUGGUUCAAGAUCAUAUCUAGUAUAUAAUGAAAUUUUGUUUUAUGCAGUUUUUCAAGUGAGUUCACACCCAUGGUCUGAUUGAAAAAGUAAUUAGUAUUCCUAUUAGAGCUUUAGGAUAAAUACCCAACUUUCUCUCCUCUUAGCUGAUUAGAUUCCAUCUUUCUCUGUGCUUCAGUAUACAUUCCACAAAAAACAAAACAACUCCUGCGGUUUUCAGAACCCGGUGCUGGUGCCGUCGAGAGACUGUUUAGGCGGGUGUCCCCUUCUGUGGAAUCUCGCGUGGGGUUCAGCAGUCCAGGGCCGGGCCUUGGAGGCCAUCAGCCUUCCUUAUCGGCUGUGCAACUAAUGAUCUUUGGUCAAUUGGGACUGGACUGAGGACUCUGCAGUGUGGAAAACCAGUUCUGCGGUGACCUCUCCCUCAUUUUUGGAGACCCCAGGUGGGCCUAACCUGGAGGC
RNAcentral lists this long non-coding RNA (3205 nucleotides) under Homo sapiens (human). Its description in RNAcentral is "non-protein coding lnc-GRAMD4-4:1". The record is from RNAcentral. Lineage: Eukaryota; Metazoa; Chordata; Mammalia; Primates; Hominidae.